This 867-nucleotide ribosomal RNA is filed under the name uncultured bacterium. RNAcentral's name for it is "bacterial SSU rRNA". It matches the Rfam family "Bacterial small subunit ribosomal RNA", at positions 8 to 881 of the family's 1533-position model. The record is from RNAcentral.
AGGGUUUGAUCCUGGCUCAGGACGAACGCUGGCGGUGCGCCUUAUGCAUGCAAGUCGAGCGAAGCUUUUCAGUAGUUUACUACAGAAAAUGACUGAGCGGCGAACGGGUGAGUAACGCGUGAGCAAUCUACCUUAGUUACAGGGAUAGCCCGAGGAAACUCGGAUUAAUACCUGAUAUUCUUUACAUUUCGCAUGAAAUCAAAAGGAAAGGUCAGCCGAACUAAGAUGAGCUCGCGUUCUAUCAGCUAGUUGGUGAGGUAAAAGCUCACCAAGGCAACGACGGAUAGCUGGUCUGAGAGGACGAUCAGCCACACUGGGACUGAGACACGGCCCAGACUCCUACGGGAGGCUGCAGCAGGGAAUAUUGCGCAAUGAGCGAAAGCUUGACGCAGCGACACCGCGUGUGGGAUGACGGAUCUAGGUUUGUAAACCACUUUCAGGAGGGAAGAAAAUGACGGUACCUCCACAAGAAGCCCCGGCCAACUACGUGCCAGCAGCCGCGGUAAUACGUAGGGGGCGAGCGUUGUCCGGAUUUAUUGGGCGUAAAGAGCUCGUAGGCGGUUCAACAAGUCGGUCGUAAAAGUUCAGGGCUCAACCCUGAAAUGUCGAUCGAUACUGUUGUGACUAGGAUACGGUAGAGGUGAGUGGAAUUCCGAGUGUAGCGGUGAAAUGCGUAGAUAUUCGGAGGAACACCAAUUGCGAAGGCAGCUCACUGGGCCGCUAUCGACGCUGAGGAGCGAAAGCUAGGGGAGCAAACAGGAUUAGAUACCCUGGUAGUCCUAGCUGUAAACGAUGGAUACUAGACGUAGAACUGGAUUGACGGUUUCUGUGUCGUAGCUAACGCGUUAAGUAUCCCGCCUGGGGAGU